Molecule: unclassified non-coding RNA, 1457 nt
Filed under: uncultured fungus
Lineage: Eukaryota; Fungi
Description: sequence contains 18S rRNA gene, ITS1, 5.8S rRNA gene, ITS2, 28S rRNA gene
Rfam family: Eukaryotic large subunit ribosomal RNA (bases 517-1457)
Source: RNAcentral
GGAAGGAUCAUUACCGAGUUAGGGGCCCUUGGGCUCCAAACUUCCAACCCUUUGCUUACAACCUUUUGUUGCUUUGGCGGAGCGGAGGAGUCUCAUCUCCCCCCGCCGGCUUCGGUCGGUGCGCUCUCCGCCAGAGAUUUUUCAAAACCUGCUUGAAAACGUGUCAGUCUGAAGCAAAAAAUUUUAAAUCGCAAAAAAACUUUCAACAACGGAUCUCUUGGUUCUGGCAUCGAUGAAGAACGCAGCGAAAUGCGAUAAGUAAUGUGAAUUGCAGAAUUCAGUGAAUCAUCGAAUCUUUGAACGCACAUUGCGCCCUCUGGCAUUCCGGAGGGCAUGCCUGUUCGAGCGUCAUUACACCCCUCAAGCUCUGCUUGGUGUUGGGGGACCUCGCCCCGGUUUUGGGGCGCCCCCGAAAAUCAGCGGCGGUGCAGCCGGAUCUCUAGCGCAGUGACAUCAAACUUUCUCGCUACAGAUCUGGAGCAGAGCGCCACGCCGAAACUUCUUUUCUCUUGAAAUUGACCUCGGAUCAGGUAGGAAUACCCGCUGAACUUAAGCAUAUCAAUAAGCGGAGGAAAAGAAACCAACAGGGAUUGCCUCAGUAACGGCGAGUGAAGCGGCAACAGCUCAAAUUUGAAAUCUGGUCGCUUUGGCGGCCCGAGUUGUAAUUUGAAGAGGAUGCUUCGGGUGCGACACCGCUCUAAGUUCCUUGGAACAGGGCGUCAUAGAGGGUGAGAAUCCCGUCUGUGAGCGGCCGUCAACCCCAUGUGUAGCUCCUUCGACGAGUCGAGUUGUUUGGGAAUGCAGCUCAAAAUGGGUGGUAAAUUUCAUCUAAAGCUAAAUACCGGCCAGAGACCGAUAGCGCACAAGUAGAGUGAUCGAAAGAUGAAAAGCACUUUGGAAAGAGAGUCAAAAAGUACGUGAAAUUGUUGAAAGGGAAGCGCUUGCAACCAGACUCGCCUGGGGGUGUUCAGCCGUCUCUCGGGGCGGUGCACUCUCCCCCAGCCGGGCCAGCAUCGAUUUGGGCGGCCGGAUAAAGGCCUCGGGAAUGUGGCUCUCUUCGGGGAGUGUUAUAGCCCGGGGUGCCAUGCGGCCAGCCCGGAUCGAGGACCGCGCUUUUGCUAGGAUGCUGGCAUAAUGGUUGCCAGCGACCCGUCUUGAAACACGGACCAAGGAGUUGACCUACCGCGCGAGUGUUUGGGUGUAAAACCCGUGCGCGUAAUGAAAGUGAACGGAGGUGAGAGCCGCAAGGUGCAUCAUCGACCGAUCCUGAUGUCUUCGGAUGGAUUUGAGUAUGAGCGUGGUGGGUCUGACCCGAAAGAUGGUGAACUAUGCGUAAAUAGGGUGAAGCCAGAGGAAACUCUGGUGGAGGCUCGCAGCGGUUCUGACGUGCAAAUCGAUCGUCAAAUUGGCGCAUAGGGGCGAAAGACUAAUCGAACCAUCUAGUAGCUGGUUCCUGC